AAGUCGUAACAAGGUUUCCGUAGGUGAACCUGCGGAAGGAUCAUUAUCGAUUGGCCGAAAGGCCUUGAUCUUUCAUACCUCUGUGAACUGUUGGCCCUCGGGCCGUCUAUAAACACUGUGUAAAGAAUGUAAUACAUGAAAACAUAAUAAAACUUUCAACAACGGAUCUCUUGGCUCUC
This 179-nucleotide unclassified non-coding RNA is filed under the name Tremella sp. RNAcentral's name for it is "partial contains small subunit ribosomal RNA, internal transcribed spacer 1, and 5.8S ribosomal RNA". The stretch from base 1 to 46 matches the Rfam family "Eukaryotic small subunit ribosomal RNA", at positions 1786 to 1831 of the family's 1831-position model. The record is from RNAcentral. Lineage: Eukaryota; Fungi; Basidiomycota; Tremellomycetes; Tremellales; Tremellaceae.